This 453-nucleotide ribosomal RNA is filed under the name uncultured Sphingomonadaceae bacterium. RNAcentral describes it as "bacterial SSU rRNA". It matches the Rfam family "Bacterial small subunit ribosomal RNA", at positions 8 to 507 of the family's 1533-position model. Lineage: Bacteria; Pseudomonadati; Pseudomonadota; Alphaproteobacteria; Sphingomonadales; Sphingomonadaceae. The record is from RNAcentral.
AGAGUUUGAUCCUGGCUCAGAACGAACGCUGGCGGCAUGCCUAACACAUGCAAGUCGAACGAAGCCUUCGGGCUUAGUGGCGCACGGGUGCGUAACGCGUGGGAAUCUGCCCCUCGGUUCGGAAUAACAGUUAGAAAUGACUGCUAAUACCGGAUGAUGACGUAAGUCCAAAGAUUUAUCGCCGAGGGAUGAGCCCGCGUAGGAUUAGCUAGUUGGUGAGGUAAAGGCUCACCAAGGCGACGAUCCUUAGCUGGUCUGAGAGGAUGAUCAGCCACACUGGGACUGAGACACGGCCCAGACUCCUACGGGAGGCAGCAGUGGGGAAUAUUGGACAAUGGGCGAAAGCCUGAUCCAGCAAUGCCGCGUGAGUGAUGAAGGCCUUAGGGUCGUAAAGCUCUUUUACCCGGGAUGAUAAUGACAGUACCGGGAGAAUAAGCUCCGGCUAACUCCGUG